UACAAUCAGAACAUGUGAGAACAAGAUUAUUCACAACAACAGAUGAACCAGAAGCAUCAUAUUCUGAACAAUAUUUGCCAAGCAUGUUGGGAGCAUUAAAUAUUCAAGAAGAGACAGAAUUACCAUCUAACCAGGCA
Long non-coding RNA from Dendronephthya gigantea, 137 nucleotides. RefSeq lists it as uncharacterized. The transcript is spliced from 3 exons. The record is from RefSeq and is a predicted model, not a curated record. NCBI's taxonomy places the organism in Eukaryota, Metazoa, Cnidaria, Anthozoa, Malacalcyonacea, Nephtheidae.